RNAcentral lists this ribosomal RNA (508 nucleotides) under uncultured bacterium. Its description in RNAcentral is "partial 16S ribosomal RNA". It matches the Rfam family "Bacterial small subunit ribosomal RNA", at positions 28 to 523 of the family's 1533-position model. The record is from RNAcentral.
GACGAACGCUGGCGGCGUGCUUAACACAUGCAAGUGGAGCGACGAAACCGGGCUUGCCCGGUGGCAGAGCCGCGAACGGGUGAGUAACACGUGGGUAACCUGCCCCGAUGAUUGGGACAACUCCGGGAAACCGGAGCUAAUACCAAAUGUGUUCACAUUCCUGAAGGGGUGUGAGGAAAGGAAGCUUCGGCCUCCGCAUCGGGAUGGGCCCGCGGCCCAUUAGCUUGUUGGUGGGGUAACGGCCUACCAAGGCGACGAUGGUAGCUGGUCUGAGAGGAAGAUCAGCCACACUGGGACUGAGACACGGCCCAGACUCCUACGGGAGGCAGCAGUGGGGAAUCUUGCGCAAUGCGCGAAAGCGUGACGCAGCAACGCCGCGUGCGGGAAGACGGCCUUCGGGUUGUAAACCGCUUUCAGUUGGGACGAAGCUUCGCCGGUGAAUAGCCGGCUGGAGUGACGGUACCUUCACAAGAAGCACCAGCUAACUACGUGCCAGCAGCCGCGGUAA